GUGAGUAACACGUGGAUAACCUACCUAUAAGACUGGGAGUAACUUCGGGAAACCGGAGCUAAUACCGGAUAAUAUAUUGAACCGCAUGGUUCAAUAGUGAAAGACGGUUUUGCUGUCACUUAUAGAUGGAUCCGCGCCGCAUUAGCUAGUUGGUAAGGUAACGGCUUACCAAGGCAACGAUGCGUAGCCGACCUGAGAGGGUGAUCGGCCACACUGGAACUGAGACACGGUCCAG
RNAcentral lists this ribosomal RNA (235 nucleotides) under uncultured Staphylococcus sp. RNAcentral describes it as "partial 16S ribosomal RNA". It matches the Rfam family "Bacterial small subunit ribosomal RNA", at positions 106 to 334 of the family's 1533-position model. The record is from RNAcentral. Lineage: Bacteria; Bacillati; Bacillota; Bacilli; Caryophanales; Staphylococcaceae.